AAAGGUAAUCUGUCAAAAAAACUAAUAAAAACAACAUUCACAAAAUUCUAGUGAUUACAAACCAAGUAGAUAUACGUAUAUUGGAAAAAUAAACUUAAAACUUACCUCUUCUUGGUCAUCAUUGGUCUCAUUCUCCUCAUUGUCAGCGUUAAUAAUGUACUCGUCCCCUUCAUCCGAUGCAGCCUGUUGUGGUAAGGCUGACAUAACCGUCAUGACUGGCUGCGCAUCUCCCUUGGCUUGAAAAUAGUAGUGACCGGCUUGAUCGACAAAGAUAUAAAUGCUACAUGAAAUCACUAGCACUGAAGACGAGUGUACUGUGUGCACUCCAGACUGUUUCAAACCAUUUCAGAUAGCUUUUGCCAGAAAAUACAAGUACCAAUUGUGGCCAGCACUGAUUCUGGGCAAAGCACAGUUCCAAAAAGGGUACAGAGUGUAUUUUUUUCGAAGCAAAGAUAUUUUGGAUGUCCCUUUAAACAAUGUCUUAACAGAUAUUGAGUUUUUACUAGGAAAGGAAGUUAGUUUCAAAAGAAACGGUUGUUUUAAGAAGGGAAUUCUACAGAGUAUCACUUCAAACUUGGCUACUAUAUCACCAAAGUUUUAUAUAGUAUCUAAAAAGGGAAUUGUAUAUGAUGUGUCGUUUUUUAAUGUUUAUUUAACUACAAAACAAGCUGAUGAAGUUUUAAGUUUUGUCAGUAAUUAGGGAGAGUAAUGCAAGCCUUAAAUUUUACUAUAAAUAAAUAUUAAAAUGUACUGCUUACCUGA
Long non-coding RNA from Sitophilus oryzae (rice weevil), 762 nucleotides. RefSeq lists it as uncharacterized. The transcript is spliced from 3 exons. Lineage: Eukaryota; Metazoa; Arthropoda; Insecta; Coleoptera; Curculionidae. The record is from RefSeq and is a predicted model, not a curated record.